RNAcentral lists this ribosomal RNA (120 nucleotides) under Streptomyces regensis. RNAcentral describes it as "partial 16S rRNA". It matches the Rfam family "Bacterial small subunit ribosomal RNA", at positions 162 to 283 of the family's 1533-position model. Lineage: Bacteria; Bacillati; Actinomycetota; Actinomycetes; Kitasatosporales; Streptomycetaceae. The record is from RNAcentral.
UCUAAUACCGGAUACGAGUUUCACGGGCAUCCGUGAUUCUGGAAAGCUCCGGCGGUGAAGGAUGAGCCCGCGGCCUAUCAGCUUGUUGGUGAGGUAAUGGCUCACCAAGGCGACGACGGG